AUACGUAGGGGGCGAGCGGUGUCCGGAUUUAUUGGGCGUAAAGGGUGCGUAGGCGGCCUUGUAAGUCAGAUGUGAAAGAUAAUGGCUUAACUGUGGUAAGCAUUUGAAACUGCAGGGCUUGAGUACAGGAGAGGAGAGUGGACUUCCUAGUGUAGCGGUGAAAUGCGUAGAUAUUAGGAGGAAUACCAGUGGCGAAGGCGACUCUCUGGACUGAUACUAACGCUGAGGCACGAAAGCGUGGUGAGCAAACAGUGUUAGAUACCCUGUUAGUCCACGCUAUAAACGAGGAGUGCUAGAUGUCGGGGGUCAAACCUCGGUGCCGCAGUUAACACAUUAAGCACUCCGCCUGGGGAGUACGGCCGCAAGGCUUAAACUCAAAUGAAUUGACGGGU
This 392-nucleotide ribosomal RNA is filed under the name uncultured bacterium. RNAcentral's name for it is "partial 16S ribosomal RNA". It matches the Rfam family "Bacterial small subunit ribosomal RNA", at positions 523 to 918 of the family's 1533-position model. The record is from RNAcentral.